AGUGAACGCUGGCGGUAGGCCUAACACAUGCAAGUCGAACGGCAGCACAGUAAGAGCUUGCUCUUACGGGUGGCGAGUGGCGGACGGGUGGGGAAUACAUCGGAAUCUACUUUUUCGUGGGGGAUAACGUAGGGAAACUUACGCUAAUACCGCAUACGACCUACGGGUGAAAGCAGGGGAUCUUCGGACCUUGCGCGAUUGAAUGAGCCGAUGUCGGAUUAGCUAGUUGGCGGGGUAAAGGCCCACCAAGGCGACGAUCCGUAGCUGGCCGGAGAGGAUGAUCAGCCACACUGGAACUGAGACACGGUCCAGACUCCUACGGGAGGCAGCAGUGGGGAAUAUUGGACAAUGGGCGCAAGCCUGAUCCAGCCAUACCGCGUGGGUGAAGAAGGCCUUCGGAUUGUAAAGCACUUUGAGUUGGGAGGAAGGGCAGUAAGUUAAUACCUUGCUGUUUUGACGUUACCAACAGAAUAAGCACCGGCUAACUUCGUG
This 492-nucleotide ribosomal RNA is filed under the name uncultured bacterium. Its description in RNAcentral is "partial 16S ribosomal RNA". It matches the Rfam family "Bacterial small subunit ribosomal RNA", at positions 29 to 507 of the family's 1533-position model. The record is from RNAcentral.